Molecule: ribosomal RNA, 314 nt
Filed under: uncultured Chloroflexota bacterium
Lineage: Bacteria; Bacillati; Chloroflexota
Description: bacterial SSU rRNA
Rfam family: Bacterial small subunit ribosomal RNA
Source: RNAcentral
GAUUAAUGCUAGCGGCGUGCCUUAUGCAUGCAAGUCGAACGGUUCUGAUUUAUCAGGAUAGUGGCAAACGGGUGAGUAAUACGUAAGCAACCUACCCGAGUAAGGAAUAAUCCGCCGAAAGGUGGACUAAUACCUUAUGUUGUGUCUUCUCGCCGGAGAGGUCACCAAAGUCUUCGGAUGCUUUGGGAGGGGCUUGCGUCUGAUUAGCUAGUUGGUGGGGUAACGGCCUACCAAGGCGAUGAUCGGUAGCUGGUUUGAGAGAAUGAUCAGCCACACUGGGACUGAGACACGGCCCAGACACCUACGGGUGGCUG